GAUGAAGAACGUAGCGAAAUGCGAUAAGUAAUGUGAAUUGCAGAAUUCAGUGAAUCAUCGAAUCUUUGAACGCACAUUGUGCCCGCCAGUAUUCUGGCGGGCAUGCCUGUUCGAGCGUCAUUACAACCCUCAGGCCCCCGGGCCUGGCGUUGGGGAUCGGCGGAAGCCCCCUGCGGGCACAACGCCGUCCCCCAAAUACAGUGGCGGUCCCGCCGCAGCUUCCAUUGCGUAGUAGCUAACACCUCGCAACUGGAGAGCGGCGCGGCCACGCCGUAAAACACCCAACUUCUGAAUGUUGACCUCGAAUCAGGUAGGAAUACCCGCUGAACUUAAGCAUAUCAAUAAGCGGAGGA
Molecule: unclassified non-coding RNA, 353 nt
Filed under: soil metagenome
Description: partial contains 5.8S ribosomal RNA, internal transcribed spacer 2, and large subunit ribosomal RNA
Rfam family: 5.8S ribosomal RNA (bases 1-120)
Source: RNAcentral